UCGCGAGCACUUCCAGAACUGAGUGCUAUUGAGGAUUGUGAGACCUGAGUUGUUUGGAUUGGUUAGGAAAGGAACUUUAGGUGCUAAUGAGACCUAUUAAAGAUAUUGACUGAGAACUGUGAAGCUUUUAUGAUAUGUUAAGUGAAUAUAAAGUGAAUUAUGGAUUGAUUGUAUUUACUUGAAUUAUUAUUGAAUGAUCAAGGAAUUGUUGAAAAUGAAUUGUUAUUAAGCUUGAUGUGAUUUGAUUAUGCUGCAAAUGUUAUUUAACUAAGUUGCAUGAGUCUGAAUUAAGUUGAUGAUGAACUCCAAAUUAUUGGAUGUAUAA
This 325-nucleotide long non-coding RNA is filed under the name Medicago truncatula (barrel medic). Its description in RNAcentral is "long non-coding RNA (MTRU_LNC004597)". Lineage: Eukaryota; Viridiplantae; Streptophyta; Magnoliopsida; Fabales; Fabaceae. The record is from RNAcentral.